This 5008-nucleotide long non-coding RNA is filed under the name Salvia miltiorrhiza (redroot sage). RNAcentral's name for it is "long non-coding RNA (SMIL_LNC008914)". The record is from RNAcentral. Lineage: Eukaryota; Viridiplantae; Streptophyta; Magnoliopsida; Lamiales; Lamiaceae.
CUCGCCUUUCUCACCGGGCAGCAAAGCUAACUAAUUCUAAGAGCAGCCUAUGUAUUGAACACACUUUCCCAACUGAAUCAAGCUUAGAACCACAUUCGAUAUUUAUGUACUUGGACAUUUGGCAGCCAAUGUGAAGCAUAGAUGCGCAACGAGGCUCAAGGAAUAAAAGGCAGAGGUAAAUUCUUUCUAGGUGUUAUCUUAUCUACUACCAAACAAGGCCUAAAGGAAUCAAUUUGCAUACAAUUCAUUUCUAUCAAAAACCAAAGGAAUUUAUUUACAAGAUAAUUUACCUCUUAAGCUUCCUAGCAGCUUUCGUAUGUCGACAAACACACUAACUGUUUUUAAUUGACUCUGUUCUGCAAUUAUUACAAGAGUAAGUUAUUUCUGUAAAUCAAUAAAAGGACUUCCAAACAUAUGCACAAUCAUGUCGAGAGGAGAGAUACUCACCAUUAUGUGGUCAAAAAAAGGCAAUCAUGUGACUUAUUUUUAGGAUAUUUGACAACAAAGGGGGGAACACACACUAAUUCUGGCCCCCUCGCUUCUUCUUCCAAUGCCGAUCCAACUUGUUUCAAUAUAUCAUUGAAUAGGAUUUCUAAAAAAACCAUCACUUAGUAGGUAGAUAAUGUGGGAAACAAAGUAAACAAAUACCAAUUAAUAGGCAUAAGGGUAAGAUAUGGGAAACAAAAUUAGGGAUGAAUCAUUGCAAGCUAUUACUUCAAAUAUGAUCUCAAAAUCAAUAAUAUAAACAGCCGAUUCAAACACGUCUAUGUAAGUAUAGUGUUUCUCAGUUUUAACAAACGGAGAUAAAUUAAGGCAUUAUGGAGGACUAUUACCUACGUAUAUGAUCUCAAAAUACAAAAAGAGACGCGAUUAGAUCAGAUUAGGGAGGCCAACAAACAUAUAGUAUAAACGAUUGACAAUCACAGUGAGUGAAUGUAUGAAUGAAACUUACUGUCUCCGCCAACAAAGGUAGCAUCAUCACUCCUCCCUAAGAUUCCAAAUCCGACGAGAUCAAAAUAAUCACCAUCACGAUCAAUUUUAAAAAUACGCGCACCCAACCUUUCGCUUGGAAUUUGUUCGCCCUCAAUUGGUUGGGGGCGGUCGGAAAGAUAAUAAUUGCCACCACUAUCAAUUGCCAAAUACCGUCCACCAUCGAUUUGCAAACAAUAAUCAUCUUCAAUGCUGCUGCUGUUGUCUCCAACUCGGGGAGGGGAAGAUAUAAUCGAUCUGUUGUCUGCAUAAUGCAUAGCGAUAGAGAGGGCCAGAGGAAUGCCAAGCGGACCACAAUGUUUUUUUGUCUGCAAUUAUUACAAGGAGUAUAUUAUUUUCAAAACAUAUGAUCAAUCGAAGAGAAAUACUCACCGUAGAUUGGUCGUAAGCCGUAGGCACAUAUUCCUUUUGAGGCAUUUUAGGAUAUUUGGCAACAGCCGGGGGAAGAAACACUGGUCGUGCAAGAUCUCUCUUCCAGUCAAGAUCAAAUAGUUCAUUGAAUAAGAUUUCUACACAAACACACCAAUUAGUAGUUAGAUAUUGUUCAUGAUCAAACACAUGAUCUAUUCCUAAUUAAAAAAUAAUUCAUUAAUUUAAAGAGUAUUUUUCAAAGAAUUAUUUGUUGAAACUACCCCCAACUCUCGAAACAAAGGAAGCAAUCAUUGCAGACUAUUACUAAUUAACAAUAGAAAUUUAGCUUACCGUCCCCGGCAGUCCAGAUAUGGGUAAAUCACCCGCUAAGACUCCAAAUGUGACGAGCUCAAAAUAAUCACCGCCACGAUCUACUUGAAAAACAGGAACACCUGACCUUUUGUUUGGAAUUUUUGGCCUUUAAUUGAUGUGGGUGGUCGGAAAGAUAAUAAUUUCCACCACCACUAUCAAUUGCCAAAUACCGACCACCAUCGAUUUGCAAACAACAAUCAUCUUCAAUGCUGCUGCUCUUGUCUCCAACUCGGGGAGGGGAAGAUAUAAUCGAUCUGUUGCCUGCAUAAUCCAUGGCGAAGAGAGGGACAGAGAAUGCCAGAGCGAGGCGGAAGCGGCGGCCGCGCUUUGCAAAGGAGAAGCGGUGCAAUAAGGGUUCAAACGAAGAGAAAAUAUGAUGUAUUUAUUUUUAUUUUGGUCAAAAUUGCAUACAAUCAAAGGUUCAAUUCAACUAGGGUUCUAAAAACUGAUUUAUUUUUAUUUUGGGUCAAAUAUGUAGGUUUGGCUGCCGCCAUAUAAGACUACCCACAGUCGUGACACUCUCCAACCAACCUUACUCAACUUUUUAAUAAAAUAUUCAUUUUCUCUCAUCCACCUACACAACCCACAACUAAUAUAAUUUUCACUCCAAUGGUGACACAACCCAACCUACAUAUUUUUCCUUUUCACUUUAUUUUUAAUUAUCUAAUAUCUAAAAUAAAAUAUAAAUUAAAAUUAAAUAUUUAUUUAUUAUAUUUAACAAAAUAAAAUAAAUAUUUAUUUAUUUGUUCUUCAAUAAAAAACUCAUUUACAAUAUUUUAUAUUUUAAACUUAUAUAAUCGUAUUAAAAAAAUUAUAUGAUAAGUGUUAAAAAAAUACUAUAUAUUAUAAUUGAUAUUUUAUUCAAUAACAAAUGAAAAUGAUAAAAAUUAAAACACAAAAUUGGAAAUAAAGCUACAAAUUGAUAUGUGAAAUAAUAAAUUAUAACUAAAAAGAUACAAAUUAAAUAUUUAUUUUGUUUUGUGAAAAUAUAUUAAAAUUUGACUUUAUUUAUAGAGAAAAUAAUAAUAUGAAUUUUAAUGUAAUUUUUAUUUUCAAUAAAGAAUUAACUAUGAUAAAAUAUAGCUUCCAAAAACUAUGAUAAAAUAUAUUUAAAAUAUAAAAUUUUAAAAACGAAUANAAACAUGCCAUGUGUAAAAAGAAUAAUAAAGUACAAAUGGUGACUUAGGGUGGAUGGCCGCCUCGGUCACGGAAAUUCGUGACUUUAUGAUUUUUUUUUUUUUCAUCUAUUUUUUCUUAUCCGCGUGACACUCCCCCAAAGUCACGGUUGGGAGUAGUCUAAGCAAGGAUUUUAAAUCGAACUCUGUUUAUUGUUAGAAAAAAAACACAAAAACUUAAAUGAGCGCCGUUCAAAUCAUGCGCUCACAGAAUGCGCGCGGGUCUGGGUCGGGUCGGACCCGAGACCCGGAUCCAACUUAUAUAUUAAAAAAAAAACCUCAGCUCCUUCUCUCUGCGUCUCGCUCUUCUCACAUUUCAGAUCGGCCAAGGAGAAUUCGUCGCCUCCCAAAUACUUGAGCAAGCUCUCUUCAAGAUUAUCGAUGGUUCUGUUGAAGAGAUUAAAUGCAAGGUUUGCAUGCUUCUUUGGCAAAUAUGGAAGGACCGAAAUAUAGUGGUUUGGAAUAAUGUUUUUCCUGUUCCGACGACCUCGAUUUCUCACGCAAUCAAUGCUCGGAUGGAAUGGUUGGUGGCCUGGGCCAAGAACUCGCCGAGAAGCACUCCGACGACAGCCAAGGUGAUCUGCAAAGGCUGGCACGCUAUUCCCUUGGAUGUUGUCAAGUGCGAUGUGGACGCAGCAUUCUUCAAGGAAGAUGGCUCCAUGGGUAUAGGGGUCAUUAUUCGCAACCAUGAGGGCGUUUUCAUCCGAGGGAAAUCCUUUAAGAUGCCUGGCUCAAGGAGUGUCGAAGAGGGAGAUCUUAUUGGCAUUAAGGAAGCUCUCUCUUGGCUUAUGGAGUUGGGGUUUGAGCGUGGAUGGGUGGACUCGGAUAGCAAACAGGCUUGUGAUAUUAUCAACACUGGUGAGAGGAAUAUCCUGGAGCUGGGUGCUAUAGCGUCUCAUUGCCGUGUGUGUGAAAAUAUUUUAAAAUUUAAAAUAUUAAAACAAAUAAGCUAUGAAAUUUUUAAAAUUUAAAAUAUUUUAUUGUUUUCUCUCUUCAUUAAUUUUUUACUACCUUUUAUUAGCCUUUGUGUGUGAAAAUAUAUAUCUAUGUAUUAAAAUAUUAUUUUAUAUUUGUUUAUAUUUGGAUUCGAUUCAAUAUUUAUAUUUAUUUAUUUAAACAUAUUUAAUAUCUAUAUUCGUCAUGAACCGCACAGAUGAACGUACUAGUUAUUAACAUGUAAUACUCCAUAAAACAAACACAAAAUCCCAACAAUAUUCUCAAACUAGUCUUUUUUUCAAAGAUUCGACAUAAUUCAUAAAUACUACUUUUUGUUCAAAAAUCCAACAUAAAUAAGCAUAUUAAUAUAGAAAUGACCAGCUAAAUAUACAUCCAGAUAGUCUUUUUUUCAGCAACUCAUUAAAGGAUCAUGCUCCUGCAUAAAGAACAAAACCUGAAGAUAUAUACAUACAUACCUAAUAUGAAAAGAAUAAUUGAUUAAUAAACCUAGUAGAGAUUUUGAGACAAGUUUUGGGAACAAACAUACCUCAACAGUUAGCAUAGUACUAGGUUAACAGUCCGUGUUAUGUGACUCCACUUCAUGGCUUCUGCAUAUUGAUUGAUAAACUUACUAUCUUAUCAAGUGGAUCUAAAAAUAAAUAUAUGCAGGUCUUAAUAGCUAAAGGUAGGAGAUAAACCCGAAUUAAUUAGCUUGAAAAGAAAUCAAUAUUAAGGAGGAAUACAACAACUCAUUUGGUAGGCAUGUACAAUUUGUAUCAACCCACUGCCGUUGCAAGAGAAAUAUGAGCCUCCCCGUUUGCAUUCAACUGAAAGCUGCAAGAGACCUCGCCUUUCUCACCGGGCAGCAAAGCUAACUAAUUCUAAGAGCAGCCUAUGUAUUGAACACACUUUCCCAACUGAAUCAAGCUUAGAACCACAUUCGAUAUUUAUGUACUUGGACAUUUGGCAGCCAAUGUGAAGCAUAGAUGCGCAACGAGGCUCAAGGAAUAAAAGGCAGAGGUAAAUUCUUUCUAGGUGUUAUCUUAUCUACUACCAAACAAGGCCUAAAGGAAUCAAUUUGCAUACAAUUCAUUUCUAUCAAAAACCAAAGGAAUUUAUUUACAAGAUAAUUUACCUCUUAAGCUUCCUAGCAGCUUUACGUAUGUCAACAAACACACUAACUG